UAAAAAUACACUUUAUUUACAAGACAUUUAAACUUCAUUUUGAAAAAAAUAUAACUGUACAUAAAACUUUAAGUAAUCUUUCACUAAUAGUUAAUAAAACCACAGUGAGAUUUACAAUUCAGUAAUUCAGCAAUUCAGCAAUCAUGGAAAUUAAAUUUGGCACAUUAUUCAAAUCACAUAAGGAACAGAAAAACUGGAGGAAACUUUUAAGCAACACAACUCCAUAAAUGUAACAAUCUUUCUUACACAGUGACAUCCUCGUAUCAAGGUAUCACUAUUCAAAUAAACUAUUUAACAUAGAACGUGCUUCCACUUACAGCAGAGUAAGUGGUAGAACCUAUAGAAAUCUUCAUACGUUUUGAAUGAUCUUUUCAGAAACAUCUCUUUUACCUGCUUUCGAAUUAGUGAUUAGUGAACACUUUCCCCUAAGUUGUUAAUGAAUGACUACAGAACCCAAAACCCUACUUAUUUCAUUGUACUUUCUCAAGUUUAGAAACCAACCUUCUUGAAAAAGUUGGUUCAGGUGGACUGUUUAAUAAAGAAUGUAUAUAUAUAAAUAUAUAUAUUUACAUCUCUGGAUCACUACUAAGACAACACUUCUACACAGACUGCAGAACAUAAAACAGUCCUUGGAUUAGCUUACAUCAAGCCAUCCAUAGACCUUAGGUGGUGAACUUCACCUCAGGGAAAACUUGGCUGCUGGCAUAUUCCCUUCAAAGUUCAGAAUAAAAGGAAGCAUUCAGGACAGUAAGUGUUAUAAUCAGGUAGGGAAGGGGGAAAGAAUAGGAAGAACUAAACAAGGUCAAAAAGUGCUUUGCAAUGGUAAAGUGUAUCACACAGCAAAACCAGAAAGUGGGUGAAUUUGAAUAAAAUGGAGUGCAAAAAUUAAACCAGUGCAUAAAAGUAUUUGUAAACUGUAUUAUGGGUACAUCGCCCUGCCCAGAAAGCCACCAAAAUCAUACUGCUUUUAUUGAAGAGACAAAGAAUAUGAAAAAUAUUAGGAGGAAAAACACACAGUUGCAAAUAAGCAUUGCAAAGAACACAAGUUUUCAACUGAAAACCUGGGAAAACAAAGGCAAUAUUCCUAAAAAUUGCUCUUCUAUGUAAAGAAAAUAACUGAUGCUAAGGCAAGACUUGCAAUUUAGAGAGUGACAGAAGGAGGAAAAAUUAACAACUGAAUUGGCACGUAUGGCACAUAUGAAAAGGUAACCAAAAAUUGAUCCACUUUAAGAAAAGACCCACAAUUGAUGAAGACCAGUAAAGUGCUUUUGCAUUCAAUACCAUGUUAAUUCAUUCCAGAUUUCACUUUUGCUCCAAAACCAUCUAGCAAGGCUAGCAAAUGUUUCACUGUCGUACAAGUAGGUGAUUUGUAUGACUGGUUAUGGAUCAGAGGGACACAUAAGGUGGACAACUGGUUGAAAGCCACCUGUAUUUUAAACAAACAGAUUUCCUUUGCUAUAGAUAGUGAUGGACAGAUAGGGGCAACCACUGCCAGAGAACUUGAAUGCUGUAAUGAUGCAAUUCCAAAGGAGCACUUGAAGAGGACAGAGUAGCACAAUCAACCUGCAAUCAUCAGAAAUUUUACAUUACUGAACUGGGGGGAAAGGGGUGGAAGAAAUUAGGCUAAAAAGGCCAGACAAGAUUUCAUGACAGCGCAAUAUGCUACAAAACUGAAUCUAGAACAAGACCCAAAGAUAAUGGCAGAUACUUGAAAUAUAUUGUAUUUCGAAAUGAGGUAAGCCUACUUCAAGAGAAUUAGAAGAGAUAUGCCAAUAACUGAAGGGAAAUAAGUCAGUACAAAAUACACACUGAUUGGAAUGAAGUUUUCUACAGAUGUAGAGAGAGGCCAUUGAGCACAGCCAAGCUGUGGCAUGCUUCAAACAGACGAGAAAGAUACUUUAUUGUGGGACUCAAAGGAAGGAUACCAGGUCAGAAAUCUUAGCUGUAUACCCUGAAAGUACCUACAUAGAAAAAACAUGGCUCAUCUCAUCAAUAACACAGCUCUGUUGGUUUUGCUUGCUUAAGCAAUAAAGCAGAUUUUAAAUCUGCUUGUUUUCCAGCCCUGAAGAUUUCUAUAAUACCUGGUAUUUUCCUAUUUAUUCACAGGCAACAAUUACAGUACAUUCAACCAGACAGGAAAAAAAAAGUUUAAGAAUGUUACUUCAUUGUAUUUUUAGGUUACAACACUUUUAAAAGCUUAAAAAAAUAGAUAAACACAGUUAUAGCAAACAGUGGAAGGAUAAAGAAGAAAAUGGUCCAUUUCGUCAAAUGCCCCAACAUUACACAUACUUGUUUUCCCUAAUCCCAGAAUAAACAACACUGCCAUCUCAUCUUCAACCAUUUAAUAAUAUACACAUAUAAAAAUUACCUGAUUUAAGACAUAAAUGCAUAAUUAUGAAAGGGUGCUUAUUUUUAGAGGGUAUCUGGGAGGCGAGCUCUCCCCUAGACUUUGUUGUUAUUUUGGGAGCCUUUUAUUCCAGAUCACAAAAAAAAACCAACCUGUAAAUAUGUUUGUUAUUUACAUCUGAACCUCGACAUUUAAGCAUCAUCAUAGAUAAAAAUAAGGACAAAAAAACCAGAACUGUCUUACUUUAUGCCACACGCUUUUAAAAGACACAGCAAUUCUACAAAUGUUUCCUGAUUUACAUUAAUUUGUGCAAUAACUGCCAAGUAAGAUCCUGCUGCUUUUUCACCCCUGCUGCUGCCAACAGAAUCAGACUAGAGGAUCAAGCUUUUAAUUACACUAAUACACAGUUUAGUUUAUAUUAUAGAAACUUACAAUGGAAGGCUAUAAAAUAUAUUAAUUCACACAAGAAUCUGUUCAAAAGGGGCAACUACAAAUCUCAAAACAUGUUAUUCAAACUGGAAUCACUGCUUCAGUAAAUACCAUUUUCCAAGCAGCAAAAUAUCCUGCUGGGUGUUUUAAAAUUCAUUGACUUAAUGUAAUCAUCCUUAUUAAUAAGAAAUUGCCUGCUUUCAAGCCAGCCUUACAAGGAGGUCCUGGUGUUUUCCCAGC
Molecule: long non-coding RNA, 3016 nt
Organism: Strigops habroptila (Kakapo)
Lineage: Eukaryota; Metazoa; Chordata; Aves; Psittaciformes; Psittacidae
Source: Ensembl